This 874-nucleotide ribosomal RNA is filed under the name Bifidobacterium longum. Its description in RNAcentral is "bacterial SSU rRNA". It matches the Rfam family "Bacterial small subunit ribosomal RNA", at positions 505 to 1383 of the family's 1533-position model. Lineage: Bacteria; Bacillati; Actinomycetota; Actinomycetes; Bifidobacteriales; Bifidobacteriaceae. The record is from RNAcentral.
GCGACAGCGCGGUAAUACGUAGGGUGCAAGCGUUAUCCGGAAUUAUUGGGCGUAAAGGGCUCGUAGGCGGUUCGUCGCGUCCGGUGUGAAAGUCCAUCGCUUAACGGUGGAUCCGCGCCGGGUACGGGCGGGCUUGAGUGCGGUAGGGGAGACUGGAAUUCCCGGUGUAACGGUGGAAUGUGUAGAUAUCGGGAAGAACACCAAUGGCGAAGGCAGGUCUCUGGGCCGUUACUGACGCUGAGGAGCGAAAGCGUGGGGAGCGAACAGGAUUAGAUACCCUGGUAGUCCACGCCGUAAACGGUGGAUGCUGGAUGUGGGGCCCGUUCCACGGGUUCCGUGUCGGAGCUAACGCGUUAAGCAUCCCGCCUGGGGAGUACGGCCGCAAGGCUAAAACUCAAAGAAAUUGACGGGGGCCCGCACAAGCGGCGGAGCAUGCGGAUUAAUUCGAUGCAACGCGAAGAACCUUACCUGGGCUUGACAUGUUCCCGACGGUCGUAGAGAUACGGCUUCCCUUCGGGGCGGGUUCACAGGUGGUGCAUGGUCGUCGUCAGCUCGUGUCGUGAGAUGUUGGGUUAAGUCCCGCAACGAGCGCAACCCUCGCCCCGUGUUGCCAGCGGAUUAUGCCGGGAACUCACGGGGGACCGCCGGGGUUAACUCGGAGGAAGGUGGGGAUGACGUCAGAUCAUCAUGCCCCUUACGUCCAGGGCUUCACGCAUGCUACAAUGGCCGGUACAACGGGAUGCGACGCGGCGACGCGGAGCGGAUCCCUGAAAACCGGUCUCAGUUCGGAUCGCAGUCUGCAACUCGACUGCGUGAAGGCGGAGUCGCUAGUAAUCGCGAAUCAGCAACGUCGCGGGAAUCGUCCCCGCCCUUG